Rhagoletis zephyria (snowberry fruit fly) is the source of this 727-nucleotide long non-coding RNA. RefSeq lists it as uncharacterized. The record is from RefSeq and is a predicted model, not a curated record. Lineage: Eukaryota; Metazoa; Arthropoda; Insecta; Diptera; Tephritidae.
UUUGCGAUACGAGUAGCUGCCGAAAAAAAAAAAUAAAAACUAAAACCAAAGAAUAAAAACAUUUUUUAACGUUGACUAGGAAAACAUUCCAAUCACGUAUUUGGCUGGAGCCGUGUGUAGCUGUGGCGAGUGAAUGUGCAACAAAGCGUGUAAGCUGGCAGCGAGUAGCAGAGCAACAAAAGUGUUAAAAAGUAAUAGUAAAAAAAUACGAUUUAGAUAACGCAAGAAUAAAACAGAUUGUUUAAAAAAAAAACAAAAAAAAUACUUAAGCGCAGCAACAAAAUUUACAGAACCAACAAAGAAAAUUCCUCUAAAAUGUACAAGAGAAAGGUCUAAAGUGCUUGGCGAUAAAUCGAUGAUUCAGCAAAGAAUUUGAAAAAAAAAUUAAAUAAAAAAUUAACUGAAAUUGGCUGAAGUGACUGGCAAGCUGCUAAAACAAGUGAUUUUAACGAAUGUACCUGCUGCUAAGACAAAUAAUUUUGCUUACUUAGUGAAUGUGAUUUAAAAGAAAAAAUUAUUAAAAAACAAAUUAUUUUAAAUAACUCUACUUGCGGAUUGCUUCAAAAAAAAUAAAUAAAUAAAAAAUAAAUAAAUUUUUUAACUUUUAUGUCGCGCGCUUUUUCGUAAUUUUUGUUCAUGUUUUUUCUCGCAUGCGAUACAUAUCUCACAAAACUACCUACUUAACAAAAAUUUAUAAUUAACCCUUUCGGGUACCAGCACCUAAAAA